Molecule: unclassified non-coding RNA, 392 nt
Filed under: soil metagenome
Description: partial contains 5.8S ribosomal RNA, internal transcribed spacer 2, and large subunit ribosomal RNA
Rfam family: 5.8S ribosomal RNA (bases 1-128)
Source: RNAcentral
GAUGAAGAACGCAGCGAAAUGCGAUAAGUAAUGUGAAUUGCAGAAUUGCAGAAUUCAGUGAAUCAUCGAAUCUUUGAACGCACCUUGCGCUCCUUGGUAUUCCGAGGAGCAUGCCUGUUUGAGUGUCAUUAAAUUCUCAACCUCACCAGUUUUCUGAACUGUUCUUCGAGGCUUGGAUGUGGGGGUUGUGCAGGCUGCCUCACGGCGGUCCGCUCCCCUGAAAUGCAUUAGCGAGUUCAUACUGAACUUCCGUCUAUUGGUGUGAUAAUUAUCUACGCCGUGGACGAGGAUCAGACUCGCUUCUAACCGUCCGCGAGGACAAUACCUUGACAAUUUGACCUCAAAUCAGGUAGGACUACCCGCUGAACUUAAGCAUAUCAAUAAGCGGAGGA